GCCAUGUCUAAAUCACAGAACAACUUAAUGCAUAUUUUUAUUUAAAUUUCCUUCCCAAUAUGUAUUGUUACUCCAAAUGCCAGCAUAUAGUACUAUGGUUUUGUUUUAUUUUUCAUUCUUUUUCUUUCUGUACACGUUCUUGGCAAUAGAACUUUAGGAAAAACAGAAUUAUUUUCUUAGACUUGAAAAAUAAUAAUCUGUCUUUGUGGAAGACCAAGUAUUCAUAUGGACUAUAAAUAUAUAAUUGGAAUAAAGAUAUUAACUUUCAUUAAUUGCCUGUCUCACUGGCGCUGUGCUAAGGGCAUGUUGUUUAAUCUUUAAAAUGACCAGACAUGAUUUUUAUAGACUUGUGGAUGAAAUAACUGAGAUAAAAACUGCCAAAUGGAAGAAAUUAAAAGCUCAUCCUCAGUAUUAGGCAAAGAAGUUUCUAAGAGUUGAUAACUACAAGAAUGGCAUAUAAUGAUGGACAUUUGGAUUGCUCAAAAUAUAUUUUACCAGAUUUCAUCCUUUGCCAUCAACCAGGGAGGUGUUAAAAGAUCAAGUAUUACAUACUCCUUCCAAAAGCAUUCUCCUUAUGUGCAAAGGGCAUUGUACUGGGCAAUAUGAGUAAUGGAGAUAAUACAGAUCCAGCCAUAAGGACCUGGAAGUAUGGAGGCAGAGUUCAGGUUAUCUACUUAGCUAAAAAUAUGAAAUGGCUAUGCUGCUGCGUUUCACAUAUCCUGAGUCAUGAGAGACGUUCAUGGAACAGUGGUUAUCAAGAAAUAAGCACAGAAAAGGGACGAACAAGAACGAGUGUGUCUUACUUCUUCUAGGGCCU
Molecule: long non-coding RNA, 817 nt
Organism: Lontra canadensis (Northern American river otter)
Lineage: Eukaryota; Metazoa; Chordata; Mammalia; Carnivora; Mustelidae
Exons: 4
Source: RefSeq, a predicted model, not a curated record